RNAcentral lists this ribosomal RNA (1346 nucleotides) under uncultured bacterium. RNAcentral describes it as "partial 16S ribosomal RNA". It matches the Rfam family "Bacterial small subunit ribosomal RNA", at positions 28 to 1381 of the family's 1533-position model. The record is from RNAcentral.
GACGAACGCUGGCGGCGUGCUUAACACAUGCAAGUCGAACGGAAAGGCCCUGCUUUUGUGGGGUGCUCGAGUGGCGAACGGGUGAGUAACACGUGAGUAACCUGCCCUUGACUUUGGGAUAACUUCAGGAAACUGGGGCUAAUACCGGAUAGGAGCUCCUGCUGCAUGGUGGGGGUUGGAAAGUUUCGGCGGUUGGGGAUGGACUCGCGGCUUAUCAGCUUGUUGGUGGGGUAGUGGCUUACCAAGGCUUUGACGGGUAGCCGGCCUGAGAGGGUGACCGGCCACAUUGGGACUGAGAUACGGCCCAGACUCCUACGGGAGGCAGCAGUGGGGAAUAUUGCACAACGGGCGGAAGCCUGAUGCAGCAACGCCGCGUGCGGGAUGACGGCCUUCGGGUUGUAAACCGCUUUCGCCUGUGACGAAGCGUGAGUGACGGUAAUGGGUAAAGAAGCACCGGCUAACUACGUGCCAGCAGCCGCGGUGAUACGUAGGGUGCGAGCGUUGUCCGGAUUUAUUGGGCGUAAAGGGCUCGUAGGUGGUUGAUCGCGUCGGAAGUGUAAUCUUGGGGCUUAACCCUGAGCGUGCUUUCGAUACGGGUUGACUUGAGGAAGGUAGGGGAGAAUGGAAUUCCUGGUGGAGCGGUGGAAUGCGCAGAUAUCAGGAGGAACACCAGUGGCGAAGGCGGUUCUCUGGGCCUUUCCUGACGCUGAGGAGCGAAAGCGUGGGGAGCGAACAGGCUUAGAUACCCUGGUAGUCCACGCUGUAAACGGUGGGUACUAGGUGUGGGGUCCACUCCACGGGUUCCGUGCCGUAGCUAACGCUUUAAGUACCCCGCCUGGGGAGUACGGCCGCAAGGCUAAAACUCAAAGGAAUUGACGGGGCCCCGCACAAGCGGCGGAGCAUGCGGAUUAAUUCGAUGCAACGCGUAGAACCUUACCUGGGUUUGACAUGGAUCGGGAGUGCUCAGAGAUGGGUGUGCCUCCUUUGGGGUCGGUUCACAGGUGGUGCAUGGCUGUCGUCAGCUCGUGUCGUGAGAUGUUGGGUUAAGUCCCGCAACGAGCGCAACCCUUGUUCACUGUUGCCAGCACGUUAUGGUGGGGACUCAGUGGAGACCGCCGGGGUCAACUCGGAGGAAGGUGGGGAUGACGUCAAGUCAUCAUGCCCCUUAUGUCCAGGGCUUCACGCAUGCUACAAUGGCUGGUACAGAGAGUGGCGAGCCUGUGAGGGUGAGCGAAUCUCGGAAAGCCGGUCUCAGUUCGGAUUGGGGUCUGCAACUCGACCUCAUGAAGUCGGAGUCGCUAGUAAUCGCAGAUCAGCAACGCUGCGGUGAAUACGUUCCCGGGGCU